AGAUGCCUACGGGGGGCAGCAGUGGGGAAUAUUGCACAAUGGGGGAAACCCUGAUGCAGCGACGCCGCGUGAGUGAAGAAGUAUUUCGGUAUGUAAAGCUCUAUCAGCAGGGAAGAGAAUGACGGUACCUGAGUAAGAAGCCCCGGCUAACUACGUGCCAGCAGCCGCGGUAAUACGUAGGGGGCAAGCGUUAUCCGGAUUUACUGGGUGUAAAGGGAGCGUAGACGGCGAAGAAAGUCUGAAGUGAAAGCCCGCGGCUCAACCGCGGAACUGCUUUGGAAACUUUUUUGCUG
Molecule: ribosomal RNA, 293 nt
Filed under: uncultured bacterium
Lineage: Bacteria
Description: partial 16S ribosomal RNA
Rfam family: Bacterial small subunit ribosomal RNA
Source: RNAcentral